Molecule: unclassified non-coding RNA, 328 nt
Filed under: soil metagenome
Description: partial contains 5.8S ribosomal RNA, internal transcribed spacer 2, and large subunit ribosomal RNA
Rfam family: 5.8S ribosomal RNA (bases 1-120)
Source: RNAcentral
GAUGAAGAACGUAGCGAAAUGCGAUAAGUAAUGUGAAUUGCAGAAUUCAGUGAAUCAUCGAAUCUUUGAACGCACAUUGCGCCCCUUGGUAUUCCGAGGGGCAUGCCUAUUCGAGCGUCAUUAUCACCCCUCAAGCCUAGCUUGGUGUUGAGGCCUGCUGUUAAGGCAGCCUCUAAAAUCAGUGGCAGUGCUGUCAGGCUCUAAGCGUAGUAAUUUCAUCGCUAUAGAUACCUGGUGGAUACUCGCCAGAACCCCCCCAUUUUUUAAUGAUUGACCUCGGAUUAGGUAGGGAUACCCGCUGAACUUAAGCAUAUCAAUAAGCGGAGGA